Molecule: ribosomal RNA, 745 nt
Filed under: Bacillus cereus
Lineage: Bacteria; Bacillati; Bacillota; Bacilli; Caryophanales; Bacillaceae
Description: bacterial SSU rRNA
Rfam family: Bacterial small subunit ribosomal RNA
Source: RNAcentral
CGGCGUGCUAUACUGCAAGUCGAGCGAAUGGAUUAAGAGCUUGCUCUUAUGAAGUUAGCGGCGGACGGGUGAGUAACACGUGGGUAACCUGCCCAUAAGACUGGGAUAACUCCGGGAAACCGGGGCUAAUACCGGAUAACAUUUUGAACCGCAUGGUUCGAAAUUGAAAGGCGGCUUCGGCUGUCACUUAUGGAUGGACCCGCGUCGCAUUAGCUAGUUGGUGAGGUAACGGCUCACCAAGGCAACGAUGCGUAGCCGACCUGAGAGGGNGAUCGGCCACACUGGGACUGAGACACGGCCCACACUCCUACGGGAGGGAGCAGUAGGGAAUCUUCCGCAAUGGACGAAAGUCUGACGGAGCAACGCCGCGUGAGUGAUGAAGGCUUUCGGGUCGUAAAACUCUGUUGUUAGGGAAGAACAAGUGCUAGUUGAAUAAGCUGGCACCUUGACGGGACCUAACCAGAAAGCCACGGCUAACUACGUGCCAGCAGCCGCGGGAAUACGUAGGUGGGAAGCGUUAUCCGGAAUUAUUGGGCGUAAAGCGCGCGCAGGUGGUUUCUUAAGUCUGAUGUGAAAGCCCACGGCUCAACCGUGGAGGGUCAUUGGAAACUGGGAGACUUGAGUGCAGAAGAAGAAAGUGGAAUUCCAUGUGUAGCGGUGAAAUGCGUAUAGAUAUGGAGGAACACCAAUGGCGAAGGCGACUUUCUGGUCUGUAACUGACACUGAGGCGCGAAAGCGUGGGGAG